UGCCCGCGUAGCUCAGUGGACAGAGCACCGGUUUCCGGAACCGGGGGUCAGGGGUUCGAAUCCCUUCGCGGGCAG
RNAcentral lists this transfer RNA (75 nucleotides) under Paractinoplanes ferrugineus. RNAcentral's name for it is "Actinoplanes ferrugineus tRNA-Arg". It matches the Rfam family "tRNA". Rfam says of the family: Transfer RNA (tRNA) molecules are approximately 80 nucleotides in length. Their secondary structure includes four short double-helical elements and three loops (D, anti-codon, and T loops). Lineage: Bacteria; Bacillati; Actinomycetota; Actinomycetes; Micromonosporales; Micromonosporaceae. The record is from RNAcentral.